This 309-nucleotide long non-coding RNA is filed under the name Elaeis guineensis (African oil palm). RNAcentral's name for it is "long non-coding RNA (EGUI_LNC071019)". The record is from RNAcentral. Lineage: Eukaryota; Viridiplantae; Streptophyta; Magnoliopsida; Arecales; Arecaceae.
AACGAUCCUUUUGUGCUAGCUCAACAAGCUGUUCAAGUGUAUUAUACUCCUUUUUCAUCAACAGAGAGAGGAAGAAAAGAUUGGUGGGCUGUUUAUGAAAUUAAAUCUCAAGCCAUUCAUUACGAGCUCGAAAAAAAGAAGAAGAGCCCCAUUUACCAGAAUGCUUUCAGGAGGAUGAAAUAUUAGGAGUUCAUCAGCCUUCAAUUGAUGCAGAGUUGGAUGCUUCAAAAAUUUUCUACAUGAUCGACAACACAAGGAGGUAGAUCAUACUGAGUUUGUUUUAAGAAAAAAUCCUAUCCAAGAAGGUGA